UAACAGCAAGUUUAGGAAAGAGAAAGAACUUGUAGGAACUAUUGGAGGGAAUGAGUCUCUUUGGGGGGUCCUAGUAGGGAGAAUGUCAAAUUAAAUCCUUCCCAGCUGGUUGCUCAGGAAAAGAUUCUCCUGUUUAGCAGUUAAGCACACACAAAAAAGUCAUGCAACGGCCUUCCCUAUAGUGGUGAGAUCACAUUAAAUAGCUACUUCAAGUGUCACUAAAGCAUUAUAACUGCUCUUAAGUGUAUGUAGAAUGAGAUUACUUUAGAAAAACAUUUCGAAAAAUCAUAUGCUUUUCCCAUAUGUUCAGUAUUUAAUGUUGUUGGACAAUGACUGCCUAAAACUUCAUACACAGCAAAAAAAAAAAAAAAUCUAACAACGAACAUUUAAGUUUAGUUCCCAUAAGUCUCAGAAUUUCAUGCCCUCAAUUUUUUCCCUAUCAUACACAUUUUUAAAAGACUAAUCUAGUGGAUAAGGAUAUGCUAUCAAAACCUGAAACUCAUGAAUCGGAAAUCAUCUUGCACAUUAACUUGUAAUCUUAUAACAAUUUUUGUCUCUGCACACAUAAAAUGUAAAUUCUGCACGCAUAAAAUGUAAAAAAUCUCAAACAGUUUAGUGUUUUGUAUAUUUAAAUCAUUAUGUUCUAUAACAAACAAUAAUUUAGGUAUUGUCAGUAAGAUGGAAUUAGCAACAUUUCUAUUUCUCCCAAGUAAAAAUAUAGAAUGAUAUAAAGAACUGGAUGCCUUGAUGAAAGUACCUGUAUUACAGCAAAUUAUAGCAAAAGACAGAAGUAGAAAGGAAAAACAAAAAUUGAUAUACUGAAUAUAGAGGUGGGAAAUGAUUGCAAACUAUAAUUCUUAUUAGUGAAAUAAAGCACUAAAGGAAUAUGUAAAGGGAAAAAAUAAAAUUUCAACUAAAAAAUAGUCUAGUGUUAACAUAUUAAAUGACAACCAACUUAUAAGCUCUUGGACCCAACAGAGAUAAAUUAGUUUAAGAAAGGCAAAUUUUGCUGGGUUCAGUGGCUCAGGCUUAUAAUCCCAGCACUUUGAGGGGCCAAGUAGGAGAAUCACUUGAGGCCAGGAGUUCAAGACAAGCCUGAGCAACGUAGCGAGAGCCUGUCACUACAAAAAAGUAACAAUAAAAAAAUUAGCCAGGCAUGGGUGCAAGCCUGUAGUCCCAGCUACUCAGGAGGCUGAGAUGGGAGGAUCACUUGAGUCCAGGAGUUCACGACUGCAGAGAGCCAUGAUAGCCACUGCAUUCCAGCCCAGGUGUCAGAGUGAGACUCUGUCUCAAUAAAAUAAAAUAAUUAAAUAAAUAUAAAAAAAAGAAAAGGCCAAGUGUGGUGGCUCACGCCUAUAAUCCCAUUACUUUGGGAGGCUGAGGUGGGCAGAUCACUUAAGCCCAGGAGUUUAAGAUCAGCUUCGGCAACAUGGCAAAACCUCAUCUUCUACCAAAAUAAAAAAUUAGCCAGGCAUGGUAGUGCGUGCCUAUGGUCCCAGCUACUCAUGAGUCUGAGGUGGGAAGACGGCUUAAGCCCAGGACACAGAGGCUAUAGGGAGCUGACAUCGCACCACUGCACUCUAGCCUGGGCAACAGACCCAGACCCUGUCUCCAAGGGGAAAAAAAAAAAAAAAAGAAAGGCAAAUUUCAUGCAGCAUUGUUUCAUUUGUUCCCCUUGUAAACACAUUUAAAUGUAUCACAGGAUCUGUAACUAUCAAAACUGCCCACAGCAUCAAAUUAAAAAUACAGUUCUAAUCCAGACACGGCGGAUGAAAGGGAUCAUGGCUAACUAGUGAAACAGCACUGAUAGUCAAAUGAAGGGCUGGAACCUUGAAGUAAAAAGAAGAAAAGGAUCAUCGAGAGAAAAGUUACGAUGGGCUAGACUUCUGGUUAUUUCAGAAAUGGGUAGCAAAAGACAAAGGCUCUUAACCUCCCAGAAUUAGGUGACAACCUCAGCCAAUCUAUCUCCCUAGUAAAGCCAGAACUAAGAUGGGAAAAAAAGACCAUUUUUAAAUGAACAAACCAAAUUUAUGCUUAGGGCUGUAUUCGCUUAAUGGAGGAACAGUCAUUUCAAAAUUAGUAAAACAAAAGCUUUAUAUGAAAAAACAUAGUAUAAUUCUGAAUGAUUUUCAUACAAUCAUUAUCAAGCAUAAGUGAUACUGGAUACCUGAAGCUGACAUGAGGGAAAAAGGCUCAGGGAGAUUUCACAACUUUGUACAGCAGUGGCUUGAAAGGAUAUAACUAUAUUUACCAUAAAACAAGAAGUAGUCAUUUUUACCUUACACAAUUUAUAAGAAUUUUUAGAAAAAUAGAAAUAACUCACAUGUAAUUCAGGUAUACCAAACUUUCCUGCCUUCCUACUAAAUGGAACUAGAAAAGCAAAAUGCUGAUUUUUUCCAGGUACUCCGAAAAUACCUUUAUAAUUUUAACCAUAAUUUGUUUAGUCUAAAAAGGUAUUGCUCCAAUACCAGAAGCUACAGGUGAAAAACAUAUCUCUCAACUGAAGACAACUUCUUGAAUAACUGUGUCACUGACAAGUUUACUCUCUGAGCUUCAGUUUCCAAACUGAGAAGGAGGAAUAACUGCCCUGCCUGUCCCACACUUCUGGCUGCUGAAAUAAUCUCAAUUUAUUUUUUCUUUAUUUUUUUUUUACAAACUACAUGCAAAUUUAAAUUUUCCAAUUCAUAAAGUAAAAGGGGUCCAAUAAAACACUAUCAUGUCCUACCUCACAGGUUACUGUAGGUAUUGUUUUCAAAAUGUGAACAAUACUACAGACUGAAAGAGGAAAAAAAAACUAGUUGAAAGUAGAAUUAGUUUUUAAGGGCAUGGCUAAGGCAAAAUUAGAAAUAUAUAUAUAAGGCUGGGUGUGGUGGCCUACACAUGUAAUCCCAGCACUUUGGGAGGCUGAGGCAUGAGGAUCACCUGAGCCCAGGAGUUUGAGACCAGCCUAGGCAACAUAGCAAGACCCCAUACUUACAGAAAAUUUAAAAAAAAAAUUAGGCAUGGUGACACAUGCCUGUGGUCCCAGCUUCUUGGGAGGCUGAGAUGGGAGGAUCACUUGAGCCCAGGAGGUUGAGGCUGCAGUAAGCCAUGUUUGUGCCACUGCACUCCAGCCUGAGUGACAGAGAACCCCAUCUCAAAAAAAUAAAUAAAUAAAAAGAAAAGAAAUAUAUAUAGGAAUGGGAAUUAGAACUCUCAAGUAUAGAGCCACCCACUAUGCCUACCCUUAAGCAAAACUGCCCCACCAAUUCAAAAUACCCAGAGACACGUCCAUUUUCAUGAUCUUGUAUGUACAUAUAUGAGACUUAUAAGAUAUUCAUUGCAGCAUUAUUUGCAAUAGCCAAGCUGUGAGAACAAGUUAAAUGUCCACUAACAGAAAAAGGGAUAAAGUAAAUGCGGUAUAUGUAGAAAAUGGAAUAUUAUUCAGACUUAAAAAGGAAAACUUGCCAUAUGCAAAAACAUGGAUGAACCUUGAUGACUUUAUGCUACGUGAAAUAAACUAGUCACAGAAAGACAAAUAAUGCAUGAUUCCACUUGUGUCAGGUAAUUAAAAUAGUCAACCCCACAGAAAGAGUGUAGAAUGGUGGAUGCCAGGGGCUAUGAAGACAGGGAAAUGGGAAGCUGCUAUUCAAGGGGUAUAAAGCUUCAGUUAUAAAGAGUGAAACGUUCCAGAGAUCUGCUGCACAUCCUCAUGCCUAUAGUUAGCAAUACUGUAUUGUACACCUAAAACAUUGUUAAGAGGGUAGAUCUCAUGUUAGAUGUUCUUACUACAAUAAAAAAAGAAAAAGAUACUGAUGCACAAGAAUAACUAAUCUUUCUUCCCUCCCUUACCAAAAAGAUUCCCCACAGGAGAAGGCAGAAAACUAAUCCAUUAUUAAAGUGAAGAGAGGAGAGAGGAGCCAAGAUGGCCGAAUAGGAACAGCUCCGGUCUACAGCUCCCAGCGUGAGAGACGCAGAAGACAGGCGAUUUCUCCAUUUCCAUCUGAGAUUGUGCAAUAUAACAGAGGAACCAAGAAGAAACCUCUCACUUGACCUUCUCUGGGUAACUUCAUUCAUUGCUUCUAUUGCAUUAAAUGCUGUCACAUUUGUGGAACUGAAAAGAACAAUGUCAGUAGCCUGGGUGUCAAGUCCUGAGAAUAGAGAGCUGUCAUUUUAA
Long non-coding RNA from Pan troglodytes (chimpanzee), 4156 nucleotides. RefSeq lists it as uncharacterized. Lineage: Eukaryota; Metazoa; Chordata; Mammalia; Primates; Hominidae. The record is from RefSeq and is a predicted model, not a curated record. The transcript has 2 exons.